This 220-nucleotide ribosomal RNA is filed under the name Compsopogon caeruleus. RNAcentral describes it as "partial Bacterial large subunit ribosomal RNA". It matches the Rfam family "Bacterial large subunit ribosomal RNA", at positions 1257 to 1480 of the family's 2925-position model. Lineage: Eukaryota; Rhodophyta; Compsopogonophyceae; Compsopogonales; Compsopogonaceae. The record is from RNAcentral.
AGAACCGUGAGGUUCUAUUCAGGGGCCUGGAAGUGUUUAUGCCGGAAUGAGUAACGAUAAGACAAGUGAGAAGCUUGUCCGCCGCAAGCCUAAGGUUUCCUGGGGAAGGUAAUUCCGCCCAGGGUCAGCCGGUACCUUAGCCGAGGCCGAAAGGCGUAGGCGAUGGAGAGCAGGUUAAUAUUCCUGCGCUGAUUUGUGGACCGAUGGGGGGACGUUGUGU